UGAUGGUGGUUAAAUGGUGUUUACAUGUAACAGUUUGCAGCUGUGGUUCUCAUGGGCAAUCUCUUCAGAAGAGCCUGAUAAAGAGCCCUGCUGACAGCAAGAAGUCUUCUAGAUGUUAUGCAUGAAUACAAUCUGGAGUAGAAACUCAAUUGUCCUAUAAAUCAGACACGCUACAGAAGUCUCUCCCUCCAGUACAGCCAGAUUCCCAAGUCUUGCCCUGAAAGCGGUGUGGCAGCAACUCGAUUUAUUACCUCCCCAGCACACAUGAGGUGUACCUGGUUCUCCUGUUCCAGGCAAACACCUACUUCAGCUGUAAACUCUUCUGACAUUUCUGACAGAGAAAUUCCCCUGCUGAGUAAUCAUUUCUUUUCCAUGGAUCUAAGAUUACCUCCGUUCAUUUCUUUGUAGGCAGGGUAAGCAUUUGUCUCUCUUCCUUCAGCUGAGCUGCUGCGUGUGUCCAUCACUGGCACAUAAGGCAUCAGGAGACCCCAGCCUCACAGAGCAAGAGUCUAAAUAGCACUUUCAAGGGGGGGAAAUUCCCAAGUUCUUGUUAUUGAGUCUCACCUGCUGGAGCAGGGAGUUCUAAUUCCAUGAAUUGCUCUUCUUCUUAUCCUCAA
This is a long non-coding RNA of Neopsephotus bourkii (Bourke's parrot), 617 nucleotides long. RefSeq lists it as uncharacterized. The record is from RefSeq and is a predicted model, not a curated record. Lineage: Eukaryota; Metazoa; Chordata; Aves; Psittaciformes; Psittacidae. The transcript is spliced from 4 exons.